CCAGAUUUCCAUGCCUAGUCUACUGACGAGUAUGACAUGUUCUUAUGAUCUUGCCCUUAACCUGCUUGCACUGAUAGAGGUAAUCAUGACAGGAUCUUUCUUGUGUAAGGUGGGGGGUUUCGAGAUACGGACCGGAGGUGUAGAUUUGAAGAUGCUUUUUACUAAGAUCAUAUAUGUGUUGUUUUACUAUCCGUGCUUGAAUUACAAAAUAUGCAUAGUCUAGGUCGCUCUAGAUUGAUUAUCUAUGCUCUAUCUAUUAUCUAUCUGUAUAUGCUUAGUAGAUUGGAUCUGAAUCUCCCGUAAACAUCAUGUUAAUACUAACAAUGCUAGUUGAAAGAGAUCUUGUGAUAUAAGUUCCAUGGAUUGAUAAACCUUGGGGGAAUACUCUGAGGGAAGAGCUACAAUUGAUCCGUAUGCUUACAGUUCACAACUUGGCGUGCUAAUAGCCGUCAACAGAGCCCAUGACAAAAAAAGCACUAAUCAAAAUAGCGGUGUCCAAAUAGAUGCCACAAACAACAAUGGGAGAUAUGACU
This 533-nucleotide long non-coding RNA is filed under the name Setaria viridis. Its description in RNAcentral is "long non-coding RNA (SVIR_LNC006487)". Lineage: Eukaryota; Viridiplantae; Streptophyta; Magnoliopsida; Poales; Poaceae. The record is from RNAcentral.